GCGGAAGUAGCUCAGCGGUAGAGCAUCGCCUUGCCAAGGCGAGGGUCGCGGGUUCGAAUCCCGUUUUCCGCUCCA
Molecule: transfer RNA, 75 nt
Filed under: Syntrophomonadaceae bacterium
Lineage: Bacteria; Bacillati; Bacillota; Clostridia; Eubacteriales; Syntrophomonadaceae
Description: tRNA-Gly
Rfam family: tRNA
About the family: Transfer RNA (tRNA) molecules are approximately 80 nucleotides in length.
Source: RNAcentral